RNAcentral lists this ribosomal RNA (401 nucleotides) under uncultured bacterium. Its description in RNAcentral is "bacterial SSU rRNA". It matches the Rfam family "Bacterial small subunit ribosomal RNA", at positions 358 to 775 of the family's 1533-position model. The record is from RNAcentral.
GGAAUAUUGGACAAUGGGGGGAACCCUGAUCCAGCGACGCCGCGUAUAGGAAGAAGUUUUUCGGAAUGUAAACUAUUGUCGUUAGGGAAGAGAAAGGACAGUACCUAAGGAGGAAGCUCCGGCUAACUACGUGCCAGCAGCCGCGGUAAUACGUAGGGAGCGAGCGUUAUCCGGAAUUAUUGGGUGUAAAGGGUGCGUAGACGGGAAAACAAGUUAGUUGUGAAAUCCCUCGGCUUAACUGAGGAACUGCAACUAAAACUAUUUUUCUUGAGUGCAGGAGAGGUAAGUGGAAUUCCUAGUGUAGCGGUGAAAUGCGUAGAUAUUAGGAGGAACACCAGUGGCGAAGGCGACUUACUGGACUGUAACUGACGUUGAGGCUCGAAAGCGUGGGGAGCAAACAG